CCUCUCUCAUCUACCUCUCUCACCCUCAGCCUUAGACCGCCGCCGGAAAUCGCCUUACGGUGGCGGCACCACUCCAAAUAACUCCAAAAUUUUACCCUACAAUCCCUAUAUUCUCCUCUUUCCAAACAUCUUAGCCUCAUCCCUCAAUCCCCACUAGAACUCUUUGGAUUUCAAAUCUCAGAAACCCUAGAAACCUAACUUUUUCCUUUUCUAAUUCUUUAACAAAUUCACUCGUUUUGACCUAAAACUUACCUUGGUCAAUUGUUCUUAACAAGAACAAUUGAUUAGUGUUAGUUUUGGCUCAUUUCAAAGCCAUCAGAGUUCAGCCAAUUUGCUUUUGAUCGGCCAGAAGUCCAAAUUGUUACAAUCUUGGCCGGCUCUCAUACUGCAUUUAGUAGUUUGCAGAUCUGACCAUUAGUUGGUUAGAUUGGUAAGCUCUAAAGCUAAGGAAGAGAUUUAACGUCUCUGGGAAAGGAGUUUUGAGCUGAAGAUUUAAUCAAAUCAUGCAUUAGUUUAGUUGUUAUUGUAAAUGACUUUUGUAUACAUUAGAAAGCAGUAAUUAUUAAGAAUUGUGAUUGAAGUGGCCAGAACUGUAAAUGUCAGAGUUUAGGUAGUCUUCUUUUGAAGUUUUGAAUGUCAACGAUUUUCUUUUCUGUAUAUUUGUUGUGUUAGAUUUUUGUUUCGUAUGGAAAACUCUGUAUCUAAGCAGGUGUAUUAGUUGAUUUUCAAAGGGACUGUUUAUGUAAUUGUCUGCAAUGGAGGCCAUAAUCUUUUAUUGAGUUAUAUAAAAUUGGAAUUCCAGUCCA
This is a non-coding RNA of Nicotiana tabacum (common tobacco), 806 nucleotides long. Lineage: Eukaryota; Viridiplantae; Streptophyta; Magnoliopsida; Solanales; Solanaceae. The record is from RefSeq and is a predicted model, not a curated record.